CGGGAGGCAGCAGUGAGGAAUAUUGGACAAUGGGCGGGAGCCUGAUCCAACCAUGCCGCGUGCAGGAUGACGACCCUAUGGGUUGUAAACUGCUUUUAUACGGGAAGAAACGCACCUACGUGUAGGUGUCUGACGGUACCGUAAGAAUAAGGACCGGUAACUC
This 163-nucleotide ribosomal RNA is filed under the name uncultured bacterium. Its description in RNAcentral is "partial 16S ribosomal RNA". It matches the Rfam family "Bacterial small subunit ribosomal RNA", at positions 342 to 503 of the family's 1533-position model. The record is from RNAcentral.